RNAcentral lists this ribosomal RNA (380 nucleotides) under uncultured eukaryote. RNAcentral's name for it is "partial 18S ribosomal RNA". It matches the Rfam family "Eukaryotic small subunit ribosomal RNA", at positions 592 to 976 of the family's 1831-position model. The record is from RNAcentral.
CAAUAGCGUAUACUAAAGUUGUUGCAGUUAAAACGCUCGUAGUCGGAUUUCGGGGCGGGCCGACCGGUCUGCCGAUGGGUAUGCACUGGCCGGCGCGUCCUUCCUUCCGGAGACUGCGCCUACUCUUAGCUGAGCGGGCGUGGGAGACGGAUCGUUUACUUUGAAAAAAUCAGAGUGUUUCAAGCAGGCAGCUCGCUCUUGCAUGGAUUAGCAUGGGAUAAUGAAAUAGGACUCUGGUGCUAUUUUGUUGGUUUCGAACACCGGAGUAAUGAUUAACAGGGACAGUCAGGGGCACUCGUAUUCCGUCGAGAGAGGUGAAAUUCUCAGACCAACGGAAGACGAACCACUGCGAAAGCAUUUGCCAGGGAUGUUUUCACUGA